AAUUGAGCAGAUUGAAUAGAGUUUGUUGUGGUAGAUGUGGGCUGAAGGUAUAGAGUUAAUUAGAGUAGAAUUGAGCAGAUUGUAUAGAGUUUGUUGUGGUAGAUGUGGGCUGAAGGUAUAGAGUUAAUUAGAGUAGAAUUGAGCAGAUUGAAUAGAGUUUGUUGUGGUAGAUGUGGGCUGAAGGUAUAGAGUUAAUUAGAGUAGAAUUGAGCAGAUUGUAUAGAGUUUGUUGUGGUAGAUGUGGGCUGAAGGUAUAGAGUUAAUUAGAGUAGAAUUGAGCAGAUUGAAUAGAGUUUGUUGUGGUAGAUGUGGG
Molecule: long non-coding RNA, 313 nt
Organism: Myxocyprinus asiaticus (Chinese sucker)
Lineage: Eukaryota; Metazoa; Chordata; Actinopteri; Cypriniformes; Catostomidae
Exons: 3
Source: RefSeq, a predicted model, not a curated record